RNAcentral lists this transfer RNA (72 nucleotides) under Toxocara canis (dog roundworm). It matches the Rfam family "tRNA". Rfam says of the family: Transfer RNA (tRNA) molecules are approximately 80 nucleotides in length. Lineage: Eukaryota; Metazoa; Nematoda; Chromadorea; Rhabditida; Toxocaridae. The record is from Rfam by way of RNAcentral.
GGAGCAGUAGCUCAGUGGUAGAGCUCCCACUUCGUAUGCGGGAAGACCUGGGUUAUGUCCUCGGCUGCUUCC